This is a long non-coding RNA of Solanum tuberosum (potato), 143 nucleotides long. RefSeq lists it as uncharacterized. The transcript is spliced from 2 exons. The record is from RefSeq and is a predicted model, not a curated record. Lineage: Eukaryota; Viridiplantae; Streptophyta; Magnoliopsida; Solanales; Solanaceae.
UAACACAUCUCGAGCAACCGGUUGAAGUUUUGGAAAUCCCUGGCCGCGAUUGCUCCACCAUUCUAGAAGAUCAAUAGUAGUAGGUUCUGUAUUUUGAUUAAUAUAUGCAUCAAAAUCAUUUCUAUCAUUAUGAGAAAGUUCAA